UGGUGUGAGAGUGGAUCGGAUAAAAAGCACUUGGGGUCGAAACACGGCAAGACUCCCAGGUGCUUUUUUGC
Molecule: small RNA, 71 nt
Filed under: Crocosphaera subtropica ATCC 51142
Lineage: Bacteria; Bacillati; Cyanobacteriota; Cyanophyceae; Chroococcales; Aphanothecaceae
Description: Cyanothece sp. ATCC 51142 Cyano-1 RNA
Rfam family: Cyano-1 RNA
Source: Rfam by way of RNAcentral